RNAcentral lists this ribosomal RNA (254 nucleotides) under uncultured bacterium. RNAcentral's name for it is "partial 16S ribosomal RNA". It matches the Rfam family "Bacterial small subunit ribosomal RNA", at positions 524 to 776 of the family's 1533-position model. The record is from RNAcentral.
UACGUAGGGCGCAAGCGUUGUCCGGAAUUAUUGGGCGUAAAGAGCUCGUAGGCGGUCUGUCGCGUCUGCCGUGAAAACCCGAGGCUUAACCUCGUGGCUUGCGGUGGAUACGGGCAGACUAGAGGUAGGUAGGGGAGAAUGGAAUUCCCGGUGUAGCGGUGAAAUGCGCAGAUAUCGGGAGGAACACCGGUGGCGAAGGCGGUUCUCUAGUACGGUACUGACGCUGAGACGCGAAAGCGUGGGGAGCGAACAGG